UGGGCAGUAAUCUGUCUCAACCCAGAGCCUGAAUGGGAAGUUAUUUUGGCAGUGUUUCCCCUAUAUGCAUUAGCAGUGACCACUGUUUUUUUAUUUAUAUACGGAUGUGUAUGUAUGAUUUAAAAAUAAAUAAAUAAAAAAGCGGGCACGGUAAAACAUUUUUCAGUGUAAACUUAAGCGUAAUGAUUAUGGCUCUAGAUUGCAGAAAAGGCUGUUUCAGGUGUUUGAAAAAUGUAAAAUUCACUAAUUUAAGGAUGGGGGCUGGGGCCCCCUCUGCACCUCUCCUCAGCCAUUCUCACAUACUUUGUGCCCCCUCAGAUUUGUGGGGUGCAUGACAGCCUGCAGCUUGUCACUGGUCAUUUCGCCUUUCUUGCAUGUUUUUAAUUUGCUUUCGUUCAGACUCUUAGUGUAUUAGGCUGUAGGCCUAGUGGAAUGUAUUAGACUAUAGGUAGUGGAAUGUAUUAGACUGUAGGUAGUGUAGGUAGUGGAAUGUAUUAGACUGUAGGCAGUGUAGGUAGUGGAAUGUAUUAGACUGUAGGUAGUGUAGGUAGUGGAAUGUAUUAGACUGUAGGUAGUGGAAUGUAUUAGACUGUAGGUAGUGUAGGUAGGGGAAUGUAUUAGACUGUAGGUAGUGUAGGUAGGGGAAUGUAUUAGACUGUAGGUAGUGGAAUGGAUUAGACUGUAGGUAGUGGAAUGUAUUAGACUAUAGGUAGUGGAAUGUAUUAGACUGUAGGUAGUGGAAUGUAUUAGACUGUAGGUAGUGGAAUGUAUUAGACUGUAGGUAGUGGAAUGUAUUAGACUGUAGGUAGUGUAGGUAGUGGAAUGUAUUAGACUGUAGGUAGUGGAAUGUAUUAGACUGUAGGUAGUGGAAUGUAUUAGACUAUAGGUAGUGGAAUGUAUUAGACUAUAGACCCUUUCUAAGCCAUAAAUGGAGAUGGGGAUUUGGAUUUGUGGCUUUGACUUAAUUCUCUGUCCAGGCCAAUGACUAUGACGGCAAUUCUGAUCUAACUGGUCACUUUAAUAAUGUUUACAUACUGUUUUACUCAUUUAAUAUGUAUAUACUGUAUUCUACUGUAUUUUAGUUAAUGCCACUUCGACAUUGCUCAUCCUAAUAUUUAUAUAUUUCUUAAUUCCAUACUUUUACUUUUAGAUUUGUGUGUAUUGUUGUGAAUUGUUAGAUACUACAGCACUGUUGGAGCUAAUUCUACGUUCUACCCAUAUUCAGUCCAAUUUUAACAAAUAAUAUUGUAUUGUAACCUAUUGAGUUCAUGAUUUGCACAGCAUAGCAUACCUUCCUAGGUCAGGCCGUCAAAGAUUUCUGGUCACGCUCCUACCCGGAACUUAAACCUCCAGUCUGGCGAUCCUAUCGGACAUAUUUCAUGAAACACAGGAACGAUUAAAGGAGAACAUAUUUGUUUACAUAGAUCCGAAGUUUAAAUGUUUUCAGUUUCUCAGACAUCUUCUGGUUUCGAAAUUAGCCAGGGCCAUUUUACUAUUUAAUAACUUAGAAACAGUGAAAACCCAUUAAAUUGUCUUGUUUAGUUAGCUCUCUGGAGCAGGUUUUCCGCUUGUUACGAGGGUAGCUAGCUAGCUAGCAGCAAUCAAUCGCUUGCUAUACAUUUCACGAUGGACGACAGACUAUGAAAUUUGACCUCCGAUGUUAUAAACAAAUUGAAAGGUAGUUAUUGCAGUUUUACAAAAAUGGAUAUCAGUCUAACAAUUUCCCUAAUGCGGGGCCAGAUGGGUACCGUGAUAGAGAGAGCGGUUAGUGCCGCUGUUGAGACUGUGUUGGGGGAGAUGCUUAGAGUCGUCGGCAUUAAAUUUGACGAGCUGAAGAGGGAGGUAGUUGCUAAAGAGAAAGAGGCGGAGAACAUAAGACAGAUGUUGGAGAUAUCCCGAUCUCAGAUGAAGACUAUGCGGAAACACAUGAAUGCUCUGGGUGAGAACGCCCACGCUGCCACUUAUCAGACCUACCGGACAGCAUUCGGCCAUUCUGAUCCCCGCAGAAUUCACGGUUCCUCCGAGGCCGCACUAUCCUCGGGUUUACCACAGCCACCGAGAAGGAUGGUUACUAACAACAACCAAAUUCCCACUACAAAUGGAAACUUACAGCCAAGGAAUCGAGUCACCAUCACCCUACCCUCUGAGAAUAUGGUCAGGGCCACCCAGCCGUCUGAUAACUUGGUCAGGGUCACCCAACCCUCUGAUAACUUCGUCAGGGCCACCCAGCCGUCUGAUAACUUGGUCAGGGUCACCCAACCCUCUGAUAACUUGGUCAGGGUCACCCAACCCUCUGAUAACUUCGUCAGGGCCACCCAGCCGUCUGAUAACUUGGUCAGGGCCACCCAACCCUCUGAUAACUUGGUCAGGGCCACCCAACCCUCUGAUAACUUGGUCAGGGUCACCCAACCCUCUGAUAACUUGGUCAGGGCCACCCAACCCUCUGACAAUAUGGUAACCGUUAGGCCCACGUCAACAUCCUUUGACAGUCACGAUGAUCUGACAACUGUGAUCUCCCAGACUCUGGAGGAUCGGACAUUGACACCCACUAGUUCAUCAGAGCAUCUGGAACCUUUGAAAGAGGAGCACCCAGCCCCUCUAGACCCCGAGGUGUCUGAUGAGAGCCAGAGGAGGGAGGAGGAAGAAGAGUGGACCACCGUUACACAGCCACCAUCAGAGACCAGCACAGACCCUGGAGACCAGCUGGUCCUCUCCCCACCCAGGACUGACGGAGCAGACUGCUCUGCCAGGAGUGUACUGCCACUCUCCCAGCCACUUUCCCAGUUCCAAGUGAAAGAGGAGGAAGCUGAGGUGGAGAUCAUCUGUAUCAAACAGGAACCAGAGGAGGUGGAGACCCUGCUGAUAAACCUGGCUGCCGAAGGCUUCGACUCUCAGGGCAACCUUUUAGACAGGCAGACUCAGGGAAACCACCUCCUGGACAGUCACAGGACAAUCCCAGGCUCUCAGAGCCAGAGGGAUCGGAGAGCAUCCCGUCCACCACAGAACCAGAGGACCUUAGCAGAGAAUACACCCUUCACCUCAGCCGACUCUUGUUCAUAUGGGCUGUCCCAGGCAGUGAUGUCCACGUCAGGAGGAGUUGCUCCCAGGCCGAUGGUUCGUCCGUGGCCCAAGGACCUGAGUCUGUACGAGGAGUUUAAAAUGAGACGAACUGAGUUGAGGAGGAGGAACCAGACCCGUCAGAGAGAGAUGGAGAAAAACCUUCCCCAGCCUCUAUUAGCUGACCUGGUGAAGGAGAGACGGGAGAAGACCCGGCUCAGAGUGGCCCGCUGGAGAGCCAAGAGGAAGCUUCAGGCCUGCCUACUGACUCAGAUGAACCAGCAGACACAACACCAACAGACUGGACCGGGUCUGGGCCAAGGGAACAGUCUGAACAGUGGGCUGGGGAAUCAUAGCCAGAUUAGCCACCACACACAGCACAAAACCACAGGCCCGACUCAGACACAACAGAGGAACAGUGCUGCCGUCUCUCAAUCUCAGUACAAUAACAGUUUUCUGUACAACAGAAGUCACUGUGACUCUGGGGCUGGUAACAUUAACUACCCUUCUCUCCAGUUAAACUCCUCUUCUCUAAUGCUGGGGCAACACGGAGGACACAAUAUGGUGGAGCACAUUAUGCAGCCUGCGAUGACGUCAUCCUCACAGCAGGGCCUCUCCCUGACAGACUCUGAGCUCUACCAGUAACAAGGGAUCAUGGGUAUUCAAAUCUUACCCUACAAGUUCUGGAUUACUGCUGGUUUUCUGUUCUACCUGAUAAUGAAUUACACCCACCUGGUGUCCCAGGUCUAAAUCAGGCCCUGAUUAGAGUGGGAUCACCCACCUGGUGUCCCAGGUCUAAAUCAGUCCCUGAUUAGAGGGGGAUCACCCACCUGGUGUCCCAGGUCUAAAUCAGUCCUUGAUUAGAGGGGAAUCACCCACCUGGUGUCCCAGGUCUAAAUCAGUCCCUGAUUAGAGGGGGAUCACCCACCUGGUGUCCCAGGUCUAAAUCAGUCCCUGAUUAGAGGGGGAUCACCCACCUGGUGUCCCAGGUCUAAAUCAGUCCCUGAUUAGAGGGGGAAUCAUCCACCUGGUGUCCCAGGUCUAAAUCAGUCCCUGAUUAGAGGAGAAGAGUGGAACUGGCUUUGUGGUCCACAUUUGAGUUAGAGGGCAGGAGACCAACAUUACAGUACCAGUUCUACUCUACCAGUACCAGUUCUACUCUACCAGUACCAGUUCUACUCUACCAGUACCAGUUCUACUCUUCCAGUUCUACUCUACCAGUACCAGUUCUACUCUACCAGUACCAGUUCUACUCUUCCAGUUCUACUCUACCAGUACCAGUUCUACUCUUCCAGUUCUACUCUACCAGUACCAGUUCUACUCUUCCAGUUCUACUCUACCAGUACCAGUUCUACUCUACCAGUACCAGUUCUACUCUACCAGUACCAGUUCUACUCUACCAGUACCAGUUCUACUCUACCAGUUCUACUCUACCAGUACCAGUUCUACUCUACCAGUACCAGUUCUACUCUUCCAGUUCUACUCUACCAGUACCAGUUCUACUCUUCCAGUUCUACUCUACCAGUACCAGUUCUACUCUACCAGUACCAGUUCUACUCUACCAGUACCAGUUCUACUCUACCAGUAACAAUAGAGCAGAGGAUGUGUUUUGUAGAGUCACUCCGUUGUAUGGCACCCUAUUCCCUAUGUAGUGCACUACAUUCGACAAAAGUUUUUUAUGGCUCUGGUCAAAAGUAGUGCACUAUAUAGGGAAUAUAGGGUGUCAUUUUCAGACACAACCUUUGCCUUCUGAUGCGGGGACAAUAACAUGAGAUAUUUCAAGGGGAAUUGUAUAAAUGCAAAAUUAUCCAAAUUGCCUGUGACAAAUUGAUAAAAAAAAAAAAGGCUUUUAUAAUUGAAUUGCUUAAAAAAAAAUAUAAAUACCUGAGAAUGUUUUGAUGUACAACAAAAGUCUUUAUUAAAAUACAUUAUUUAUGUUAACUUGAGUAAUGACUGUCCCUACAUGUCUACAAAUAUGGAGGAUAAAUCCUUGUACUCGAAUAACUGAUUGGAUCAUCAUGCGUAAUGCUUCUAGGUCAAACAAAUGUUCGUCAAUAUUAUUUAAUCAACUCUUAUUUAUACCUUGUAUUGCUCUGCAACUGGAUUUAAAUCACGAUAAUAUACUUAUUAUUCAGAUAUAGACCUAUUCAAUGAUAUACUAGGAAACUAUCCCAUAUACAUUAUGAAUCACUUUUUUGAGUUUAGGCCUAGUCUUUGAUCUCUUGCUUCAUUCCUCCUGUUCCGUACUUGAUAGUUACAUUAGCAGUGUUCAAGGCUGUUUACAUUAACCUGUCCAGUCAUUAUGUUUUUGGCAGCAUUUACAAAGUUUUGAUUAGAAAAUAGAUGGGACUGUUACUGUGCGUUUCCGUUGUUCAUAAAAAACAGCUGGAUGGAAUGACGUCACACCUAUUAAAAAAAAAAUUAUAAUAAUAAAAACACUUAGCAAAAACCGAGUGUCGAAUGAAAAGAAAGUGGUUGAAGUGUUUUCCAUUAUCCAUUUGGG
RNAcentral lists this long non-coding RNA (5560 nucleotides) under Salmo salar (Atlantic salmon). RNAcentral's name for it is "lncRNA (ENSSSAG00000104870.1)". Lineage: Eukaryota; Metazoa; Chordata; Actinopteri; Salmoniformes; Salmonidae. The record is from RNAcentral.